Molecule: ribosomal RNA, 492 nt
Filed under: uncultured bacterium
Lineage: Bacteria
Description: partial 16S ribosomal RNA
Rfam family: Bacterial small subunit ribosomal RNA
Source: RNAcentral
GAUGAACGCUAGCUACAGGCUUAACACAUGCAAGUCGAGGGGAAACGACAUCGAAAGCUUGCUUUUGAUGGGCGUCGACAGGCGCACGGGUGAGUAACGCGUAUCCAACCUGUCCAUCACUUGGGAAUAACCUUGCGAAAGUAAGACUAAUACCCAAUGACAUCCUACGAAGACAUCUGAAUGGGAUUAAAGAUUUAUCGGUGACGGAUGGGGAUGCGUCUGAUUAGCUUGUUGGCGGGGUAACGGCCCACCAAGGCAACGAUCAGUAGGGGUUCGGAGAGGAAGGUCCCCGACAUUGGAACUGAGACACGGUCCAAACGCCUACGGGAGGCAGCAGUGAGGAAGAUAGGGCAAUGAGCGAGAGCCUGAACCAGCCAAGUAGCGUGCAGGAUGACGGCCCUAUGGGUGGUAAUCUGCUGUUAAAAGGGAAUAAAGUGGGUCUCGGGAGACUUUUUGCAGGUACCUUAUGAAUAAGGACCGGCUAAUUCCGUG